RNAcentral lists this ribosomal RNA (521 nucleotides) under uncultured Burkholderia sp. Its description in RNAcentral is "bacterial SSU rRNA". It matches the Rfam family "Bacterial small subunit ribosomal RNA", at positions 1 to 523 of the family's 1533-position model. Lineage: Bacteria; Pseudomonadati; Pseudomonadota; Betaproteobacteria; Burkholderiales; Burkholderiaceae. The record is from RNAcentral.
UAGAGUUUGAUCCUGGCUCAGAUUGAACGCUGGCGGCAUGCCUUACACAUGCAAGUCGGACGGCAGCGCGGGAGCAAUCCUGGCGGCGAGUGGUGAACGGGUGAGUAAUACAUCGGAACAUGUCCAGUAGUGGGGGAUAGCCCGGCGAAAGCCGGAUUAAUACCGCAUACGAUCUAUGGAUGAAAGCGGGGGAUCGCAAGACCUCGCGCUAUUGGGGUGGCCGAUGGCGGAUUAGCUAGUUGGUGGGGUAAAGGCCUACCAAGGCGACGAUCCGUAGCUGGUCUGAGAGGACGACCAGCCACACUGGGACUGAGACACGGCCCAGACUCCUACGGGAGGCAGCAGUGGGGAAUUUUGGACAAUGGGGGCAACCCUGAUCCAGCAAUGCCGCGUGUGUGAAGAAGGCCUUCGGGUUGUAAAGCACUUUUGUCCGGGAAGAAAUCCCCUGCCCUAAUACGGCGGGGGGAUGACGGUACCGGAAGAAUAAGCACCGGCUAACUACGUGCCAGCAGCCGCGGUAA